GGGAAUUUUGCGCAAUGGGCGAAAGCCUGACGCAGCAACGCCGCGUGAGUGAUGAAGGCCCUCGGGUCGUAAAGCUCUGUCAGAGGGGAAGAACCUCCUGUCGGUUAAUACCCGGCAGGCCUGACGGUACACUCAAAGGAAGCACCGGCUAACUCCGUGCCCGCAGCCGCGGUAAUACGGAGGGUGCGAGCGUUGUUCGGAAUUAUUGGGCGUAAAGCGCGUGCAGGCGGUCUGUUAAGUCUGAUGUGAAAGCCCCGGGCUCAACCUGGGAAGUGCAUUGGAAACUGGCAGACUUGAGUACGGGAGAGGGUAGUGGAAUUCCGAGUGUAGGGGUGAAAUCCGUAGAUAUUCGGAGGGACACCGGUGGCGAAGGCGGCUACCUGGACCGAUACUGACGCUGAGACGCGAAAGCGUGGGGAGCAAAC
RNAcentral lists this ribosomal RNA (425 nucleotides) under uncultured bacterium. RNAcentral's name for it is "bacterial SSU rRNA". It matches the Rfam family "Bacterial small subunit ribosomal RNA", at positions 357 to 773 of the family's 1533-position model. The record is from RNAcentral.